GCGGGAGUAACUCAGUUGGUAGAGUGUGUGCUUCCCAAGCACAAUGUCGCGGGUUCGAGUCCCGUCUCCCGCU
RNAcentral lists this transfer RNA (73 nucleotides) under Chloroflexus aurantiacus J-10-fl. It matches the Rfam family "tRNA". Rfam says of the family: Transfer RNA (tRNA) molecules are approximately 80 nucleotides in length. Their secondary structure includes four short double-helical elements and three loops (D, anti-codon, and T loops). Lineage: Bacteria; Bacillati; Chloroflexota; Chloroflexia; Chloroflexales; Chloroflexaceae. The record is from Rfam by way of RNAcentral.